This 345-nucleotide ribosomal RNA is filed under the name Olea europaea subsp. europaea. Its description in RNAcentral is "SSU_rRNA_archaea". It matches the Rfam family "Bacterial small subunit ribosomal RNA", at positions 1168 to 1520 of the family's 1533-position model. Lineage: Eukaryota; Viridiplantae; Streptophyta; Magnoliopsida; Lamiales; Oleaceae. The record is from RNAcentral.
GGGAGGUCCGUUUGAUAUCCAAAACUAUUCAGCAACAGUCGAACAAGUGGGGAAUGUUCAGGUGAACUAGAAAAUUACCCACGAGGGUAAGCUAACCCCAAAAACCCAUCCUCGGUUCGGAUUGUAGGCUACAACUCGCCUGCUUAAAGUCGGAAUCGCUAGUAAUUGCUGAUCACCCAUAUGGUGGUGAAUUUGUUCCCGAGCCUUGUAUACACUGCCUAUCACACUAUGAGAGUUGAUCAUCUCUCAAGUCCUUACCAUAAUCGCAGUGAGGGAGAUGCCAAUGGCAGGGCUACUGACUGGAGUGAAGUCGUAACAAGGUAAUUGUACUGUAAGGUACAGCUG